CAGGGAUUGCCCUAGUAACGGCGAGUGAAGCGGCAACAGCUCAAAUUUGAAAUCUGGCUUCGGCCCGAGUUGUAAUUUGCAGAGGAUGUUUCUGGCGCGGUGCCUUCCGAGUUCCCUGGAACGGGACGCCACAGAGGGUGAGAGCCCCGUAUGGUUGGACACCAAGCCUGUGUGAAACUCCUUCGACGAGUCGAGUAGUUUGGGAAUGCUGCUCAAAAUGGGAGGUAAAUCUCUUCUAAAGCUAAAUACCGGCCAGAGACCGAUAGCGCACAAGUAGAGUGAUCGAAAGAUGAAAAGCACCUUGAAAAGGGGGUUAAACAGUACGUGAAAUUGUUGAAAGGGAAGCACUUGUGACCAGACUUGUGCCGGGCGGUUCAUCCGGGGUUCUCCCCGGUGCACUCCGCCCGGUAUAGGCCAGCAUCGGUUCUUUCUGGGGGAUAAGAACGGUGGGAACGUGGCCCUCCCUCGGGAGGGUGUUAUAGCCCGCCGUACGAUACCCUGGAGGGGACCGAGGUUCGCGCUCCGCAAGGAUGCUGGCGUAAUGGUCAUCAGUGACCCGUCUUGAAACACGGACCAAGGAGUCGUCCAUUAGAGCGAGCGUUUGGGUGUCAAACCCGCACGCGUAAUGAAAGUGAAAUUAGGUGAGAGCUUCGGCGCAUCAUCGACCGAUCCUGAUGUUCUCGGAUGGAUUUGAGUAAGAGUUUUAACGGACGGACCCGAAAGACAGUGAACUAUGCUUGUAUAGGGUGAAGCCAGAGGAAACUCUGGUGGAGGCUCGCAGCGGUUCUGACGUGCAAAUCGAUCGUCAAAUAUGAGCAUGGGGGCGAAAGACUAAUCGAA
This 840-nucleotide ribosomal RNA is filed under the name Dendrostoma chinense. RNAcentral describes it as "LSU rRNA". It matches the Rfam family "Eukaryotic large subunit ribosomal RNA", at positions 69 to 939 of the family's 3401-position model. Lineage: Eukaryota; Fungi; Ascomycota; Sordariomycetes; Diaporthales; Erythrogloeaceae. The record is from RNAcentral.